CUUUUCUGCUCAAAAAAUGACAGGCUUGAAAAAUGUAAAUCUGAACAUAUUUUAUGCUUACAGAAGGAAAUAUAUUUUUGAAAUAGAUGUGUGUUCCUUUCGAAACCUUUGAGGUAAGUUGCUCAGCUGGGAGUGAAGUGCAUUAUAUCUUGUCAUCAAUAAAUAUGCCUGUUUAAGUGAGAGACAGGGCCAUGUUUUCUCAAAGCUAUGUUUCUGUAUUGCUUUGUUUUAUGGCUAGAUGUUACUUCUGAGACUGCUCCAGGUUUAAAAUUUGUUUGUUUCUUAAGUAGAAAUGAAGAACACAAUUCUGCCUGUUCAGUUUGUAGAGGAAGGAUUUAUAUACAGGUUUCACACUUUCCCUGGUCUGGAAACAGUGGCUUUAAUUAGGCUCUACAGAGCAGACACGAGAAGGAAAGUAAAAAGCCUUAUUGCUUUACAUGCUCAUCUCCAAAACCAAAUGUAAGAACAAGAAAGCUUUUCUGUGUGCUUCCCCGAAGGUUUGCUGUUCUGUUGUGUCUGUGUAUAUAUACAUACUCGUGUGCAAGAAGCUCCUUUAUUUCCCUAUUCAUGUUUUUUUUUUUUUUAAUUUUUUUUUUAGGUCGCAGUGCCAGCUGUGAUGAGCAGAUACGCUGCUAUUGUCUGCCAUAAAUCAUUGCCUGGGGGUGUACAUGUGAUGGGAAGAUAUUUGACUGCAUCUCUUUCCCCUCUGAUUAUAGCAGCGAACCAGGCAAAUAGAAGGAAUACAAAUAAAGGAAGUAAUCGAAGCCCAGACCCUCCAAGGCAUUUAAGCAGCUUUUCCAAACCUUUGAGGAUCUCAGCACUUCAGCAAAGGAAGGGAGAAUUUCAUAAGGAUGGUGAAUUUGAAGUGCAGAAUCCGAAUGUUGACUUGUAAGGGUUUGAAAUGUGUACAGAACAAGAUCUGGAAAAGAUCUUCAUCUUCUCCACCUAUAAGCAAUUUCAUUUUAGCUAUUCAUUAGAGAUAGUCAAAAGAUGCCUGGACAUGGUCCAGGGCACCCUGAUCUGGGUGUCCCUGCUGGGGCAGGGGUUGGACCAGGUGGACCCACAGGCCUCUGCCAACCUUAACCAUUCUGUGAUUUUUUUCUUGAUAAUGACCAAACCCAGGCUACUAGAAAUGAAGCAAAGAUGUUACUGAAUGCACUGACAUCCCACACUGUUUUGGGAGGUGAGUGGUUAGAAAGCUGCCUGGCCGAGAAGGACCUGGGAGUAUUGGUUGAUAGUCGGCUGAAUAUGAGCCAGCAGUGUGCUCAGGUGGCCAAGAAGGCCAACAGUAUCCUGGCCUGCCUAAGAAGCAGUGUGGC
RNAcentral lists this long non-coding RNA (1319 nucleotides) under Anser cygnoides (Swan goose). Its description in RNAcentral is "lncRNA (ENSACDG00005003632.1)". The record is from RNAcentral. Lineage: Eukaryota; Metazoa; Chordata; Aves; Anseriformes; Anatidae.